GAUGAACGCUGGCGGCGUGCCUAAUACAUGCAAGUAGAACGCUGAAGCUUGGUGCUUGCACCGAGCGGAUGAGUUGCGAACGGGUGAGUAACGCGUAGGUAACCUGCCUCUUAGCGGGGGAUAACUAUUGGAAACGAUAGCUAAUACCGCAUAAAAGUCGAUAUCGCAUGAUAUUGAUUUGAAAGGUGCAAUUGCAUCACUAAGAGAUGGAUCUGCGUUGUAUUAGCUAGUUGGUGAGGUAACGGCUCAUCAAGGCGACGAUACAUAGCCGACCUGAGAGGGUGAUCGGCCACACUGGGACUGAGACACGGCCCAGACUCCUACGGGAGGCAGCAGUAGGGAAUCUUCGGCAAUGGGGGCAACCCUGACCGAGCAACGCCGCGUGAGUGAAGAAGGUUUUCGGAUCGUAAAGCUCUGUUGUAAGAGAAGAACGAGUGUGAGAGUGGAAAGUUCACACUGUGACGGUAACUUACCAGAAAGGGACGGCUAACUACGUGCCAGCAGCCGCGGUAAUACGUGGGUCCCGAGCGUUAUCCGGAUUUAUUGGGCGUAAAGCGAGCGCAGGCGGUUAGAUAAGUCUGAAGUUAAAGGCUGUGGCUUAACCAUAGUACGCUUUGGAAACUGUUUAACUUGAGUGCAGAAGGGGAGGGUGGAAUUCCAUGUGUAGCGGUGAAAUGCGUAGAUAUAUGGAGGAACACCGGUGGCGAAAGCGGCUCUCUGGUCUGUAACUGACGCUGAGGCUCGAAAGCGUGGGGAGCAAACAGG
RNAcentral lists this ribosomal RNA (765 nucleotides) under uncultured Streptococcus sp. RNAcentral's name for it is "bacterial SSU rRNA". It matches the Rfam family "Bacterial small subunit ribosomal RNA", at positions 28 to 776 of the family's 1533-position model. The record is from RNAcentral. Lineage: Bacteria; Bacillati; Bacillota; Bacilli; Lactobacillales; Streptococcaceae.